GACGAACGCUGGCGGCGUGCCUAAUACAUGCAAGUUGAGCGCUGAAGGUUGGUACUUGUACCAACUGGAUGAGCAGCGCACGGGUGAGUAACGCGUGGGGAAUCUGCCUUUGAGCGGGGGACAACAUUUGGAAACGAAUGCUAAUACCGCAUAAAAACUUUAAACACAAGUUUUAAGUUUGAAAGAUGCAAUUGCAUCACUCAAAGAUGAUCCCGCGUUGUAUUAGCUAGUUGGUGAGGUAAAGGCUAACCAAGGCGAUGAUACAUAGCCGACCUGAGAGGGUGAUCGGCCAAGUUGGGACUGGGACACGGCCCAAACUCCUACGGGAGGCAGCAGUAGGGAAUCUUCGGCAAUGGACGAAAGUCUGACCGAGCAACGCCGCGUGAGUGAAGAAGGUUGUCGGAUCGUAAAACUCUGUUGGUAGAGAAGAACGUUGGGGAGAGUGGAAAGCUCAUCAAGUGACGGUAACUACACAGAAAGGGACGGCUAACUACGUG
RNAcentral lists this ribosomal RNA (497 nucleotides) under uncultured bacterium. Its description in RNAcentral is "partial 16S ribosomal RNA". It matches the Rfam family "Bacterial small subunit ribosomal RNA", at positions 28 to 507 of the family's 1533-position model. The record is from RNAcentral.